GCCGGAUUAGCUCAGUGGCAGAGAGCAACCGCCUUGUAAGCGGUAGGUCGUCUGUUCAAAUCAGACAUCCGGCACCA
Molecule: transfer RNA, 77 nt
Filed under: Candidatus Midichloria sp.
Lineage: Bacteria; Pseudomonadati; Pseudomonadota; Alphaproteobacteria; Rickettsiales; Candidatus Midichloriaceae
Description: tRNA-Thr
Rfam family: tRNA
About the family: Transfer RNA (tRNA) molecules are approximately 80 nucleotides in length. Their secondary structure includes four short double-helical elements and three loops (D, anti-codon, and T loops).
Source: RNAcentral